GGGUCAGUAGGUUGGUCGUGCCACCGGUACGUACUGGUCUCACUGAUCCCUCCUUCCUGUAGAACCGUAAUGCCAUUAAUUUGGUGUUGCGGGGAAACAGGACUGUUACUUUGAAAAAAUUAGAGUGUUUAAAGCAAGCUAACGCUUGAAUACAUUAGCAUGGAAUAAUGAAAUAGGACGAUCGAUCCUAUUUUGUUGGUUUCUAGGAUUGACGUA
Molecule: ribosomal RNA, 216 nt
Filed under: Glomeromycotina sp.
Lineage: Eukaryota; Fungi; Glomeromycota
Description: partial small subunit ribosomal RNA
Rfam family: Eukaryotic small subunit ribosomal RNA (bases 54-216)
Source: RNAcentral